CACGUAGGGUGCGAGCGUUGUCCGGAAUUACUGGGCGUAAAGGGCUCGUAGGCGGCCAACUAAGUCAGACGUGAAAUCCCCAGGCUCAACCUGGGAACUGCGUCUGAUACUGGAUGGCUUGAAUCCGGGAGAGGGAUGCAGAAUUCCAGGUGUAGCGGUGAAAUGCGUAGAUAUCUGGAGGAAUACCGGUGGCGAAGGCGGCAUCCUGGACCGGCAUUGACGCUGAGGAGCGAAAGCCAGGGGAGCAAACGGG
RNAcentral lists this ribosomal RNA (253 nucleotides) under uncultured bacterium. Its description in RNAcentral is "partial 16S ribosomal RNA". It matches the Rfam family "Bacterial small subunit ribosomal RNA", at positions 524 to 776 of the family's 1533-position model. The record is from RNAcentral.